This is a non-coding RNA of Picea glauca (white spruce), 119 nucleotides long. The record is from Rfam. Lineage: Eukaryota; Viridiplantae; Streptophyta; Pinopsida; Pinales; Pinaceae.
GGGUGCAAUCAUACGAGCGUUAAUACACUGGAUCCCAUCAGAACUUUGCAAUUAUGCGUGCUUGGCCUAGAGUAGUAUUGGGAUGGGUGACCUCCCAGGAAUUCCUAGUGUUGCACCCU